CCUACGGGAGGCAGCAGUGAGGAAUAUUGGUCAAUGGUCGGGAGACUGAACCAGCCAAGCCGCGUGAGGGAGGAAGGUUCUAUGGAUCGUAAACCUCUUUUAUAAGGGAAUAAAGUGUGGGACGUGUCCUAUUUUGUAUGUACCUUAUGAAUAAGGAUCGGCUAACUCCGUGCCAGCAGCCGCGGUAAUACGGAGGAUCCGAGCGUUAUCCGGAUUUAUUGGGUUUAAAGGGUGCGUAGGCGGCCUUUUAAGUCAGCGGUGAAAGUCUGUGGCUCAACCAUAGAAUUGCCGUUGAAACUGGGGGGCUUGAGUAUGUUUGAGGCAGGCGGAAUGCGUGGUGUAGCGGUGAAAUGCUUAGAUAUCACGCAGAACCCCGAUGGCGAAGGCAGCCUGCCAGGCCAUGACUGACGCUGAUGCACGAAAGCGUGGGGAUCAAACAGGAUUAGAUACCCCAGUAUUC
Molecule: ribosomal RNA, 460 nt
Filed under: uncultured bacterium
Lineage: Bacteria
Description: partial 16S ribosomal RNA
Rfam family: Bacterial small subunit ribosomal RNA
Source: RNAcentral